Long non-coding RNA from Mesocricetus auratus (golden hamster), 310 nucleotides. RefSeq lists it as uncharacterized. The transcript is spliced from 3 exons. The record is from RefSeq and is a predicted model, not a curated record. NCBI's taxonomy places the organism in Eukaryota, Metazoa, Chordata, Mammalia, Rodentia, Cricetidae.
AGCCCAAAGCCUUGGUCUUCUCUGGAGAUGCCACCAACAGCAGCCACACUGAGCUAGCAGCUUUCCAAACCUGAUGCUUUCUUCUUCCUCAAUCUGCUGAGCCAGGACACAGGUCUCCAUAGAAGCAUGACUGCUCGUGUUUCUGCUGCUUUAGGUCAAUGCCCACAAAGAAGUCUGAACCCCAAGAAACGUAUCUGGAUCAUCUUCUUUGUGUUUAUGCUGGGAAACAUGCCGGCUGCUCCAGUAUCCCAUCAGUUAGCACGAGGAAUGUCAGCUGUCACCUGUGUCUGUCGCGGCGAUUUCCCUCUUC